This 427-nucleotide ribosomal RNA is filed under the name Platismatia glauca. RNAcentral describes it as "SSU rRNA". The stretch from base 1 to 189 matches the Rfam family "Bacterial small subunit ribosomal RNA", at positions 197 to 390 of the family's 1533-position model. The record is from RNAcentral. Lineage: Eukaryota; Fungi; Ascomycota; Lecanoromycetes; Lecanorales; Parmeliaceae.
AAUAAUAAAGAAAGUUAACUUUCGCUCUUAGAAGUUUGUAUCUCGUGCGUGGUAGUAGUUAGGAUUAAAAGCCUAACUAGCUAAACGCACGUAGUCGUAACUGAAAGGUUGAUCGACCACAGUGGGCCUGAAUAAAGCCCAUGACGAUUGUCACAGCAGUGAGGAAUAUUGGUCAAUAGCCUUGCAUCAUUGUUUCCUUAAUUUUCGUAAGGAUACUACGGAAACUGAUGAUGCAAGAUCGACUAUGUUGAAUAAAAUUCUAGGUAAGAAUAAUAAUCAGAAUAUGAUAAGAUCAGAAAAUCAGAAAAUUAAUGAGGGGGCAAUAAAGUAUAUUUACAAGCGCUGCACGGCUGUCUUCAGUUAAUGUCGCGAGACUAUGGUUAGUUCCAUUAAUUAACGUAAACCCUUACUUUAUUUUUAUAUAGAG